Molecule: ribosomal RNA, 428 nt
Filed under: uncultured Verrucomicrobiota bacterium
Lineage: Bacteria; Pseudomonadati; Verrucomicrobiota
Description: bacterial SSU rRNA
Rfam family: Bacterial small subunit ribosomal RNA
Source: RNAcentral
UCGAGAAUUUUUCACAAUGGGGGAAACCCUGAUGGAGCGACGCCGCGUGGGGGAUGAAUGGCUUCGGCCCGUAAACCCCUGUCAUUUGCGAUCAAAGCGCAUUAUUUAAAAGAUGAUGUGUUGAUAGUAGCGGAAGAGGAAGGGACGGCUAACUCUGUGCCAGCAGCCGCGGUAAUACAGAGGUCCCGAGCGUUGUUCGGAUUCACUGGGCGUAAAGGGUGCGUAGGUGGUGGGGUAAGUCGGAUGUGAAAUCUCGGAGCUUAACUCCGAAACGGCAUUGGAAACUGCCCUGCUUGAGGGUUGGAGGGGGGACUGGAAUACUUGGUGUAGCAGUGAAAUGCGUAGAUAUCAAGUGGAACACCGGUGGCGAAGGCGAGUCCCUGGACAACACCUGACACUGAGGCACGAAAGCUAGGGGAGCAAACAGG